UACGGAGGAUCCGAGCGUUAUCCGGAUUUACUGGGUUUAAAGGGUGCGUAGGCGGGCGCCUAAGUCAGCGGUGAAAGGCGGGGGCUCAACCCCCGAGCUGCCGUUGAUACUGGGGGCCUUGAAUUCGGUCGAGGCCGGCGGAAUGCGUGGUGUAGCGGUGAAAUGCUUAGAUAUCACGCGGAACGCCGAUUGCGAAGGCAGCUGGCCGGGCCGACAUUGACGCUGAGGCACGAAAGCGUGGGGAU
RNAcentral lists this ribosomal RNA (245 nucleotides) under uncultured Porphyromonadaceae bacterium. RNAcentral describes it as "partial 16S ribosomal RNA". It matches the Rfam family "Bacterial small subunit ribosomal RNA", at positions 524 to 768 of the family's 1533-position model. The record is from RNAcentral. Lineage: Bacteria; Pseudomonadati; Bacteroidota; Bacteroidia; Bacteroidales; Porphyromonadaceae.